UCAUUUCUGCAGUCGAGAUUCCUACGGGAGGCAGCAGUGGGGAAUCUUAGACAAUGGGCGAAAGCCUGAUCUAGCCAUGCCGCGUGAGUGAUGAAGGCCCUAGGGUCGUAAAGCUCCUUCAACUGUGAAGAUAAUGACGGUAGCAGUAGAAGAAACCCCGGCUAACUCCGUGCCAGCAGCCGCGGUAAUACGGAGGGGGUUAGCGUUGUUCGGAAUUACUGGGCGUAAAGCGUACGUAGGCGGAUUAAUAAGUUAGAGGUGAAAUCCCAGGGCUCAACCCUGGAACUGCCUUUAAAACUGUUAGUCUUGAGAUCGAGAGAGGUGAGUGGAAUUCCAAGUGUAGAGGUGAAAUUCGUAGAUAUUUGGAGGAACACCAGUGGCGAAGGCGGCUCACUGGCUCGAUACUGACGCUGAGGUACGAAAGUGUGGGGAGCAAACAGGAUUAGAUACCCUGGUAGUCCACACCGUAAACGAUGAAUGCCAGACGUCAGCAAGCAUGCUUGUUGGUGUCACACCUAACGGAUUAAGCAUUCCGCCUGGGGAGUACGGUCGCAAGAUUAAAACUCAAAUGAAUUGACGG
This 580-nucleotide ribosomal RNA is filed under the name uncultured Alphaproteobacteria bacterium. Its description in RNAcentral is "bacterial SSU rRNA". It matches the Rfam family "Bacterial small subunit ribosomal RNA", at positions 318 to 916 of the family's 1533-position model. Lineage: Bacteria; Pseudomonadati; Pseudomonadota; Alphaproteobacteria. The record is from RNAcentral.